GGACCCAAGCCUCAUCUUGUCUUGUUCUUGGGCCGCUCAGCUGCAUGACGCACGCAAUCGACGACGUUCCCCCAGUUCAUUUUAUCCAUUGAGUUCCGGUGGCCCAUCAGUAAUCUACUGAAUUUCUUACUCUGCCGUUUCCUUGAGGAUAUCCCCUAUUAUUUCUUUCAUUUUUUUAUUUUUUUAGGCGCAGCAACACCUGCCGGCGCGCAUGGUUUGACAC
This 223-nucleotide long non-coding RNA is filed under the name Setaria italica (foxtail millet). RNAcentral describes it as "long non-coding RNA (SITA_LNC005276)". The record is from RNAcentral. Lineage: Eukaryota; Viridiplantae; Streptophyta; Magnoliopsida; Poales; Poaceae.